Molecule: long non-coding RNA, 1733 nt
Organism: Agrilus planipennis (emerald ash borer)
Lineage: Eukaryota; Metazoa; Arthropoda; Insecta; Coleoptera; Buprestidae
Exons: 4
Source: RefSeq, a predicted model, not a curated record
UUAAGUUUCGAUGACAAUCAGCUGUUCAUUAAUACUUGUUUGUAAACAAAAAACGGAAUCACUGCACAGAUCAGUACUGGCAAGUCUGUUCGUUGUUAAAAUCUAUUUUAUGUCUCAAUCCCUUCCACCGAGAGAACAUGCGCGAAAGGGCCCCGCGAUUAAAUAUUCUAAUAAUCGUAAAACAAUCCCGAUGCGAUGUUUGUCUGUUUCCGCGCACAUGGAUACUCGACACUUACACACACAAAUGCUAAAACUGAGUGACUAAUUAGAACGACAAUUUGCGAAUGUUACCACGUAAAUUAACCGCUUUUCCUUGGCUCGAGUGCGUGUAAACAUAAUUAGUCUUAACAUGUGGAUACUCUCACUUUUAAUAGCUCUUUAUUUGCCUAAUAAUGAACUUUUGUAACAACCAACGAACAAUAAGCUCAUUCAAUCAACUGUUUAUGGCUGUUGUGGUGCAUUUUAUCAUUUUCCGUAAAAUGUUUCAAUACGAUACAUACAAUCAAAAUUGUGCCAAUGAAACUCACUGGCAUUAGCUAUUGGUACAUACUGUUUUGGUGGUAGGCACCCUCCAUUAUUCCUUAGAAUGGAAUAAAGACUAUUUGUUCCAUCAACAUCCCAUCUUCCAAUAUUCUGGAACUACCUGAUGACCAUUAAUCAAAAGACGCAGCCAACUAACGCGUAUUUCAGUAUCCAAGAUGUUAUCAAUUCAAAAUCGCUUAUUUUGAUGUAUUCGAGAUGGAACUAAACAAUUGCAAGAAAGUGAACGGGUCUAAAUAUUCCGACUGGUACAAAUUUGAUUAUUUGAGAUGGGUGUAGUGAAACUAAACAAUUCAAAUAGACAACCAACUUUACGCGGAAAAGGGAUUAAAAUUGAAAAUAUUAUUCAUGAUGGUCCACUAAUGGAUUUAAUGGGUUACCACAAAAGUUACCUAUUUCUUAUCAAUUUAUAGAACAAAAUCACCUAUAUUAUGUACAAUGUGGUAAUGUUGGUAGACAACCCACUUUACAGGAGAAAACUCGGAAAAACUGGGUCCACUUUGACGAUUCUAAUGGAGCUUUUAAAUUUAAAACAUUUACGCCAUUUUAACGAAUUACAUUUACUGCACAAGUAAAAAUUAUGAAAUUAUUUUAAAUCUUUAAGUCUCAGUGUACUUUCCUUUUUAAACUAUCUUUUAGUUACAAUACAUAAAACUUCAAUAUACGUUGUCAAAGUUUCUGUAUUUCGUAAUAAAUGUUGAAAAGUAGUAGUAAAAUUUAAUAUCAAGAACAUUGUAGUUACAUGUAAAAUGUAACAAUAGCUACGUACUGACUAGACUGUUUUCUGCAUUUUCCUACACAUGUAAUAACGUAUAACAAUAAAAAAAUAACUUCUAGCAAUUGAGAUUAGAUAUAAAGGUCAAACCAGCUAUGUGUAGAAUGUAGAUAUUGAAUUGCAGAUAAAUUUUACAGUAAUUUGUCGUAUUAUUAUAAACAUAAUUUCAUAUUGGGUCAUAAAAGGUCCUGAAUAACAAUUUCCAGUUUAAUAACAAAUUAAGUGACAAAAAAAAACAGCUUAUCAUGUAACCCAGUUACGAAUUUAUUUAGAACAAAUAUCAGCGACAGAGGCCUAGACCUAGUAAAAGAAAUACAUAAUGAGUUACUCCUUGCUUUCACUUAACGGUUGAAGAACUAGACAAGAUUUUUAUUUAUUUAACAGUUGUUUAUAGGCAGUGAUCGAAUGGUGAAGCGUA